This 328-nucleotide ribosomal RNA is filed under the name Altererythrobacter sp. RNAcentral describes it as "bacterial SSU rRNA". It matches the Rfam family "Bacterial small subunit ribosomal RNA", at positions 1 to 357 of the family's 1533-position model. Lineage: Bacteria; Pseudomonadati; Pseudomonadota; Alphaproteobacteria; Sphingomonadales; Erythrobacteraceae. The record is from RNAcentral.
AAACUUGAGAGUUUGAUCCUGGCUCAGAACGAACGCUGGCGGCAUGCCUAACACAUGCAAGUCGAACGAACCCUUCGGGGUUAGUGGCGCACGGGUGCGUAACGCGUGGGAACCUGCCUUUAGGUUCGGAAUAACUCAGAGAAAUUUGAGCUAAUACCGGAUGAUGUCUUCGGACCAAAGAUUUAUCGCCUUUAGAUGGGCCCGCGUUAGAUUAGAUAGUUGGUGGGGUAAUGGCCUACCAAGUCGACGAUCUAUAGCUGGUCUGAGAGGAUGAUCAGCCACACUGGGACUGAGACACGGCCCAGACUCCUACGGGAGGCAGCAGUGG